Molecule: ribosomal RNA, 252 nt
Filed under: uncultured Bacteroidales bacterium
Lineage: Bacteria; Pseudomonadati; Bacteroidota; Bacteroidia; Bacteroidales
Description: partial 16S ribosomal RNA
Rfam family: Bacterial small subunit ribosomal RNA
Source: RNAcentral
UACGGAGGAUGCGAGUGUUAUCCGGAUUUAUUGGGUUUAAAGGGAGCGUAGGCGGCGAGUUAAGUCAGCGGUAAAAGCCCGGGGCUCAACCCCGGCCCGCCGUUGAAACUGGCUGGCUUGAGAUGUCGAGAGGUAUGCGGAAUGCGCAGUGUAGCGGUGAAAUGCUUAGAUAUUGCGCAGAACUCCGACUGCGAAGGCAGCAUACCGGCGCCCGACUGACGCUGAAGCACGAAAGCGUGGGUAUCGAACAGG